RNAcentral lists this ribosomal RNA (419 nucleotides) under uncultured maize root bacterium Zmrc200. Its description in RNAcentral is "bacterial SSU rRNA". It matches the Rfam family "Bacterial small subunit ribosomal RNA", at positions 1050 to 1470 of the family's 1533-position model. The record is from RNAcentral.
UGUCGUCAGCUCGUGUCGUGAGAUGUUGGGUUAAGUCCCGCAACGAGCGCAACCCUCGCCCUUAGUUGCCAGCAUUAAGUUGGGCACUCUAAGGGGACUGCCGGUGAUAAGCCGAGAGGAAGGUGGGGAUGACGUCAAGUCCUCAUGGCCCUUACGGGCUGGGCUACACACGUGCUACAAUGGUGGUGACAGUGGGCAGCGAGACCGCGAGGUCGAGCUAAUCUCCAAAAGCCAUCUCAGUUCGGAUUGCACUCUGCAACUCGAGUGCAUGAAGUUGGAAUCGCUAGUAAUCGCGGAUCAGCAUGCCGCGGUGAAUACGUUCCCGGGCCUUGUACACACCGCCCGUCACACCAUGGGAGUUGGUUUUACCCGAAGGCGCUGUGCUAACCGCAAGGAGGCAGGCGACCACGGUAGGGUCA